Molecule: transfer RNA, 72 nt
Filed under: Ictidomys tridecemlineatus (thirteen-lined ground squirrel)
Lineage: Eukaryota; Metazoa; Chordata; Mammalia; Rodentia; Sciuridae
Description: Spermophilus tridecemlineatus (thirteen-lined ground squirrel) tRNA
Rfam family: tRNA
About the family: Transfer RNA (tRNA) molecules are approximately 80 nucleotides in length. Their secondary structure includes four short double-helical elements and three loops (D, anti-codon, and T loops).
Source: Rfam by way of RNAcentral
UGGGUUGUGGCUCAGAGGUAGAGUACUUGCCUAGAAUGUUCGAGGCACUGGGUUCAAUUCUCAGCACCUCAU